ACAGCAGUCGCCGCGGUAAUACGUAGGGUGCAAGCGUUAAUCGGAAUUACUGGGCGUAAAGCGUGCGUAGGCGGCUAAUUGAGUCGGAUGUGAAAUCCCCGAGCUUAACUUGGGAAUUGCAUUCGAUACUGGUUAGCUAGAGUGUGGGAGAGGAUGGUAGAAUUCCAGGUGUAGCGGUGAAAUGCGUAGAGAUCUGGAGGAAUACCGAUGGCGAAGGCAGCCAUCUGGCCUAACACUGACGCUGAGGUACGAAAGCAUGGGGAGCAAACAGGAUUAGAUACCCGCGUAGUCCCUGUCUCUUAUAC
RNAcentral lists this ribosomal RNA (305 nucleotides) under uncultured bacterium. Its description in RNAcentral is "partial 16S ribosomal RNA". It matches the Rfam family "Bacterial small subunit ribosomal RNA", at positions 508 to 807 of the family's 1533-position model. The record is from RNAcentral.